Molecule: ribosomal RNA, 437 nt
Rfam family: Bacterial small subunit ribosomal RNA
ACGGAAGGCAGCAGUGGGGAAUAUUGGGCAAUGGGCGAAAGCCUGACCUAGCAACGCCGCGUGAAGGAAGAAGGUCUUCGGAUUGUAAACUUCUUUUAUGAGGGACGAAGGACGUGACGGUACCUCAUGAAUAAGCCACGGCUAACUACGUGCCAGCAGCCGCGGUAAUACGUAGGUGGCAAGCGUUAUCCGGAUUUACUGGGUGUAAAGGGCGCGUAGGCGGGGGUGCAAGUCAGAUGUGAAAUCUAUGGGCUUAACUCAUAAACUGCAUUUGAAACUGUAUCUCUUGAGUGCUGGAGAGGUAGAUGGAAUUCCUUGUGUAGCGGUGAAAUGCGUAGAUAUAAGGAAGAACACCGGUGGCGAAGGCGGCUUUCUGGACUGUAACUGACACUGAGGCACGAAAGCGUGGGGAGCAAACAGGAUUAGAUACCCUGGUA